This is a ribosomal RNA of 2902 nucleotides. It matches the Rfam family "Bacterial large subunit ribosomal RNA".
UUAAGCGACUAAGCGUACACGGUGGAUGCCCUGGCAGUCAGAGGCGAUGAAGGACGUGCUAAUCUGCGAUAAGCGUCGGUAAGGUGAUAUGAACCGUUAUAACCGGCGAUUUCCGAAUGGGGAAACCCAGUGUGUUUCGACACACUAUCAUUAACUGAAUCCAUAGGUUAAUGAGGCGAACCGGGGGAACUGAAACAUCUAAGUACCCCGAGGAAAAGAAAUCAACCGAGAUUCCCCCAGUAGCGGCGAGCGAACGGGGAGCAGCCCAGAGCCUGAAUCAGUGUGUGUGUUAGUGGAAGCGUCUGGAAAGGCGCGCGAUACAGGGUGACAGCCCCGUACACAAAAAUGCACAUGCUGUGAGCUCGAUGAGUAGGGCGGGACACGUGGUAUCCUGUCUGAAUAUGGGGGGACCAUCCUCCAAGGCUAAAUACUCCUGACUGACCGAUAGUGAACCAGUACCGUGAGGGAAAGGCGAAAAGAACCCCGGCGAGGGGAGUGAAAAAGAACCUGAAACCGUGUACGUACAAGCAGUGGGAGCACGCUUAGGCGUGUGACUGCGUACCUUUUGUAUAAUGGGUCAGCGACUUAUAUUCUGUAGCAAGGUUAACCGAAUAGGGGAGCCGAAGGGAAACCGAGUCUUAACUGGGCGUUAAGUUGCAGGGUAUAGACCCGAAACCCGGUGAUCUAGCCAUGGGCAGGUUGAAGGUUGGGUAACACUAACUGGAGGACCGAACCGACUAAUGUUGAAAAAUUAGCGGAUGACUUGUGGCUGGGGGUGAAAGGCCAAUCAAACCGGGAGAUAGCUGGUUCUCCCCGAAAGCUAUUUAGGUAGCGCCUCGUGAAUUCAUCUCCGGGGGUAGAGCACUGUUUCGGCAAGGGGGUCAUCCCGACUUACCAACCCGAUGCAAACUGCGAAUACCGGAGAAUGUUAUCACGGGAGACACACGGCGGGUGCUAACGUCCGUCGUGAAGAGGGAAACAACCCAGACCGCCAGCUAAGGUCCCAAAGUCAUGGUUAAGUGGGAAACGAUGUGGGAAGGCCCAGACAGCCAGGAUGUUGGCUUAGAAGCAGCCAUCAUUUAAAGAAAGCGUAAUAGCUCACUGGUCGAGUCGGCCUGCGCGGAAGAUGUAACGGGGCUAAACCAUGCACCGAAGCUGCGGCAGCGACGCUUAUGCGUUGUUGGGUAGGGGAGCGUUCUGUAAGCCUGCGAAGGUGUGCUGUGAGGCAUGCUGGAGGUAUCAGAAGUGCGAAUGCUGACAUAAGUAACGAUAAAGCGGGUGAAAAGCCCGCUCGCCGGAAGACCAAGGGUUCCUGUCCAACGUUAAUCGGGGCAGGGUGAGUCGACCCCUAAGGCGAGGCCGAAAGGCGUAGUCGAUGGGAAACAGGUUAAUAUUCCUGUACUUGGUGUUACUGCGAAGGGGGGACGGAGAAGGCUAUGUUGGCCGGGCGACGGUUGUCCCGGUUUAAGCGUGUAGGCUGGUUUUCCAGGCAAAUCCGGAAAAUCAAGGCUGAGGCGUGAUGACGAGGCACUACGGUGCUGAAGCAACAAAUGCCCUGCUUCCAGGAAAAGCCUCUAAGCAUCAGGUAACAUCAAAUCGUACCCCAAACCGACACAGGUGGUCAGGUAGAGAAUACCAAGGCGCUUGAGAGAACUCGGGUGAAGGAACUAGGCAAAAUGGUGCCGUAACUUCGGGAGAAGGCACGCUGAUAUGUAGGUGAAGCGACUUGCUCGUGGAGCUGAAAUCAGUCGAAGAUACCAGCUGGCUGCAACUGUUUAUUAAAAACACAGCACUGUGCAAACACGAAAGUGGACGUAUACGGUGUGACGCCUGCCCGGUGCCGGAAGGUUAAUUGAUGGGGUUAGCGCAAGCGAAGCUCUUGAUCGAAGCCCCGGUAAACGGCGGCCGUAACAAUAACGGUCCUAAGGUAGCGAAAUUCCUUGUCGGGUAAGUUCCGACCUGCACGAAUGGCGUAAUGAUGGCCAGGCUGUCUCCACCCGAGACUCAGUGAAAUUGAACUCGCUGUGAAGAUGCAGUGUACCCGCGGCAAGACGGAAAGACCCCGUGAACCUUUACUAUAGCUUGACACUGAACAUUGAGCCUUGAUGUGUAGGAUAGGUGGGAGGCUUUGAAGUGUGGACGCCAGUCUGCAUGGAGCCGACCUUGAAAUACCACCCUUUAAUGUUUGAUGUUCUAACGUUGACCCGUAAUCCGGGUUGCGGACAGUGUCUGGUGGGUAGUUUGACUGGGGCGGUCUCCUCCUAAAGAGUAACGGAGGAGCACGAAGGUUGGCUAAUCCUGGUCGGACAUCAGGAGGUUAGUGCAAUGGCAUAAGCCAGCUUGACUGCGAGCGUGACGGCGCGAGCAGGUGCGAAAGCAGGUCAUAGUGAUCCGGUGGUUCUGAAUGGAAGGGCCAUCGCUCAACGGAUAAAAGGUACUCCGGGGAUAACAGGCUGAUACCGCCCAAGAGUUCAUAUCGACGGCGGUGUUUGGCACCUCGAUGUCGGCUCAUCACAUCCUGGGGCUGAAGUAGGUCCCAAGGGUAUGGCUGUUCGCCAUUUAAAGUGGUACGCGAGCUGGGUUUAGAACGUCGUGAGACAGUUCGGUCCCUAUCUGCCGUGGGCGCUGGAGAACUGAGGGGGGCUGCUCCUAGUACGAGAGGACCGGAGUGGACGCAUCACUGGUGUUCGGGUUGUCAUGCCAAUGGCACUGCCCGGUAGCUAAAUGCGGAAGAGAUAAGUGCUGAAAGCAUCUAAGCACGAAACUUGCCCCGAGAUGAGUUCUCCCUGACUCCUUGAGAGUCCUGAAGGAACGUUGAAGACGACGACGUUGAUAGGCCGGGUGUGUAAGCGCAGCGAUGCGUUGAGCUAACCGGUACUAAUGAACCGUGAGGCUUAACCUU